Molecule: non-coding RNA, 384 nt
Organism: Paramuricea clavata
Lineage: Eukaryota; Metazoa; Cnidaria; Anthozoa; Malacalcyonacea; Plexauridae
Source: the annotation of a GenBank genome assembly
CCUAAAUAGUGAUCAUGUAUAUAUAUUGUAGUACUAUAAACUUGAUAUAUGUACAAUAAAGUAUUCUAAACCAGAAUGCGGUGCACCACACACGUCGAUUGGACAACUAGUAGCUUAAGAAAAGUUUUCCCGUAAUACCAUAACGCAAUGGCACGUUUUUGACCAAAUUUUUUUAAAAAAACAUCGAAAUCUCUAAACAAGAAGGGCACCUUUGAUGUUAAUUUAGUAUUUACAGAGACAUUAGCUUGUACAAAAAGGGCACUUUUCAUCACAAAAAGGGAUACUUUUCGUCCUUUGAAACAAUUUGGGAGGGAGGGCACGCGCUCCCUCUUCCCCCUCUUCCUACGCCCCUGAUUCUAAGACCACUUGAUCCCGAGAUUGAAG